Molecule: long non-coding RNA, 1363 nt
Filed under: Oryctolagus cuniculus (rabbit)
Lineage: Eukaryota; Metazoa; Chordata; Mammalia; Lagomorpha; Leporidae
Description: lncRNA (ENSOCUG00000036207.1)
Source: RNAcentral
UAUUACUUGACCAGUUUGUGAGAACGCAAGGUUGAGUUGGAGGAGUGUGGGCAGAUAAGUAAACGCUCAGACAUGGAAAUGGAUGAGGACAAAUGGACAGGCAUCUGGAUCCCAGGGCAGGCAGGUAAACCAGUGUGGGGUUCCAGGACCAACCAGGUUCAUCAGCAAGAAGGGGCCAUCUGUUGGGUACGGAAACCUGUUCUUGGUGGAUUUUAAAGAGAAAAGGCCAAUCACUCUUCCCAGAUAAAUUAGUUUAGUUCCUCUUUUUUUCAACAGCACAAAAACCAAAGAAAAUGAUUUAAUCAGAACUGGGGUUACUGGUCCAGACAGGACUAAGAACGUGGCUUAUGAUUUUACAUCCUUUGGCCUCUCUAUACUGUUAAAUGAGCAGACAGAGCUCCCAGAAGAGAUACAAUGGGUUUGCCCGCCACGAGAGGCAGGCUUGUGGAUGGAGUUGUGCAUUGUCUUAACACGGAUUCGUACACAGGAUUUUCAGGGCAGGCUCGGUGAAUUCCAACGCAGUAUGCUUCCAACUGCGUAUUUCUAUAAAAAAAAUUAUAGUGUCCCAGUAGACACCAAGUAAACACUGCAUCUGGAAGAAAGAAGCCCACGUACUUCAAAUGGGAAGAACGAGGAGGUUGUCAUGACAACCACGGAGAGGGCUGUGCUCCCUGGCUGGGCUUCACGCCCGCCUGAGCUGGGCUCUGCGUCCUGUCUGAAACUCUGCAAACCUGCCUGCAUUUCACGUCUUUAAAGCCAUAGAAAACGCGACGGCUGUGAUCUGCACAGUGCGACCUAGAGAGACACACACUUUCCCUCGCACCUGGUGUCUGUUUCUAAACAGAGAAGCCUGAAUAGACACAUAGAAGCCUCUGGAAUCCCACAGCCUUGUAUUGCUGGGCGAGAAACAAGAAGUGCAACAGGGAACUGCUGCCCACACGGAAUGCCACCUGUCAUCAAUGAAGACGGGCAGAGAAACUCACCUGGGCUGCGGCUCCUUCCGAGACUUGCUCUGCAGAAGAACAGCCUUCUCACCCAUCCCUCCCGUGCAGUCGCUGAAAGGACAGACGCGUUCUGCAAGAGAAGCUUGUCUUCCACUUCUUAGCAAUUACUUAGUGAGGCAACACGAAGGAAGUGGGGAGUAACAGAGAUUGAAGAAAUGUGGAAAAAUUGUUGACACCAUUGCAUACGUGUUACCAGUAUCGGCAUUGGCACCAUUGCAUGCAGGUUACCAGUGUCGGCAUUGGCACCAUUGCAUACGUGUUACCAGUAUCGGCAUUGGCACCAUUGCAUACGUGUUACCAGUAUCAGCAUUGGCACCAUUGCACACGUGUUACCAGUAUCGGCAUUGACACCAUUGCAU